This 466-nucleotide ribosomal RNA is filed under the name uncultured bacterium. RNAcentral's name for it is "partial 16S ribosomal RNA". It matches the Rfam family "Bacterial small subunit ribosomal RNA", at positions 29 to 507 of the family's 1533-position model. The record is from RNAcentral.
ACGAACGCUGGCGGCGUGCUUAACACAUGCAAGUCGAACGGUGAAGCAGAGCUUGCUCUGUGGAUCAGUGGCGAACGGGUGAGUAACACGUGAGUAACCUGCCCUUGACUCUGGGAUAAGCGUUGGAAACGACGUCUAAUACCGGAUACGAGCUGAGACCGCAUGGUCAUCAGUUGGAAAGAUUUUUUGGUCAAGGAUGGACUCGCGGCCUAUCAGCUUGUUGGUGAGGUAAUGGCUCACCAAGGCGACGACGGGUAGCCGGCCUGAGAGGGUGACCGGCCACACUGGGACUGAGACACGGCCCAGACUCCUACGGGAGGCAGCAGUGGGGAAUAUUGCACAGUGGGCGCAAGCCUGAUGCAGCAACGCCGCGUGAGGGAUGACGGCCUUCGGGUUGUAAACCUCUUUUAGUAGGGAAGAAGCGAAAGUGACGGUACCUGCAGAAAAAGCACCGGCUAACUACGUG